Molecule: ribosomal RNA, 612 nt
Filed under: uncultured cyanobacterium
Lineage: Bacteria; Bacillati; Cyanobacteriota
Description: bacterial SSU rRNA
Rfam family: Bacterial small subunit ribosomal RNA
Source: RNAcentral
UGGAAACGACUGCUAAUACCGGAUGUGCCGAGAGGUGAAAGAUUUAUUGCCUGGAGAUGAGCUCGCGUCUGAUUAGCUAGUUGGUGGUGUAAGGGACCACCAAGGCGUCGAUCAGUAGCUGGUCUGAGAGGAUGAUCAGCCACACUGGGACUGAGACACGGCCCAGACUCCUACGGGAGGCAGCAGUGGGGAAUUUUCCGCAAUGGGCGAAAGCCUGACGGAGCAAUACCGCGUGAGGGAGGAAGGCUCUUGGGUCGUAAACCUCUUUUCUCAAGGAAGAAGAAAGUGACGGUACUUGAGGAAUAAGCAUCGGCUAACUCCGUGCCAGCAGCCGCGGUAAUACGGAGGAUGCAAGCGUUAUCCGGAAUGAUUGGGCGUAAAGGGUCUGCAGGUGGAACUGAAAGUCUGCUGUUAAAGAGUUUGGCUUAACCAAAUAAAAGCGGUGGAAACUACAGAACUAGAGUGUGGUAGGGGCAAAAGGAAUUCCUGGUGUAGCGGUGAAAUGCGUAGAUAUCAGGAAGAACACCGGUGGCGAAAGCGUUUUGCUAGACCGUAACUGACACUGAGGGACGAAAGCUAGGGGAGCGAAUGGGAUUAGAUACCCCAGUAGUC